This 346-nucleotide unclassified non-coding RNA is filed under the name soil metagenome. Its description in RNAcentral is "partial contains 5.8S ribosomal RNA, internal transcribed spacer 2, and large subunit ribosomal RNA". The stretch from base 1 to 120 matches the Rfam family "5.8S ribosomal RNA", at positions 35 to 154 of the family's 154-position model. The record is from RNAcentral.
GAUGAAGAACGUAGCGAAAUGCGAUACGUAAUGUGAAUUGCAGAAUUCAGUGAAUCAUCGAGUCUUUGAACGCACAUUGCGCCCCCUGGUAUUCCGGGGGGCAUGCCUGUCCGAGCGUCAUUGCUGCCCUCAAGCCCGGCUUGUGUGUUGGGUCUCGUCCCCCUUCCCGGGGGGACGGGCCCGAAAGGCAGCGGCGGCACAGCGUCCGGUCCUCGAGCGUAUGGGGCUUUGUCACCCGCUCUGUAGGCCCGGCCGGCGCUUGCCGAUCAACCAAAACUUUUUUCCAGGUUGACCUCGGAUCAGGUAGGGAUACCCGCUGAACUUAAGCAUAUCAAUAAGCGGAGGA